UACGUAGGGCGCAAGCGUUGUCCGGAAUUAUUGGGCGUAAAGAGCUCGUAGGCGGUCUGUUACGUCCGCUGUGAAAACCCAGGGCUCAACCCUGGGCUUGCAGUGGAUACGGGCAGACUAGAGGUAGGUAGGGGAGAAUGGAAUUCCCGGUGUAGCGGUGAAAUGCGCAGAUAUCGGGAGGAACACCGGUGGCGAAGGCGGUUCUCUGGGCCUUACCUGACGCUGAGGAGCGAAAGCGUGGGGAGCGAACAGG
This 253-nucleotide ribosomal RNA is filed under the name uncultured bacterium. Its description in RNAcentral is "partial 16S ribosomal RNA". It matches the Rfam family "Bacterial small subunit ribosomal RNA", at positions 524 to 776 of the family's 1533-position model. The record is from RNAcentral.